RNAcentral lists this ribosomal RNA (1477 nucleotides) under uncultured bacterium. RNAcentral describes it as "bacterial SSU rRNA". It matches the Rfam family "Bacterial small subunit ribosomal RNA". The record is from RNAcentral.
GAUUGAACGCUGGCGGCAGGCCUAACACAUGCAAGUCGAGCGGUAGCACAGAGAGCUUGCUCUCGGGUGACGAGCGGCGGACGGGUGAGUAAUGUCUGGGAAACUGCCUGAUGGAGGGGGAUAACUACUGGAAACGGUAGCUAAUACCGCAUAAUGUCGCAAGACCAAAGUGGGGGACCUUCGGGCCUCAUGCCAUCAGAUGUGCCCAGAUGGGAUUAGCUAGUAGGUGGGGUAACGGCUCACCUAGGCGACGAUCCCUAGCUGGUCUGAGAGGAUGACCAGCCACACUGGAACUGAGACACGGUCCAGACUCCUACGGGAGGCAGCAGUGGGGGAUAUUGCACAAUGGGCGCAAGCCUGAUGCAGCCAUGCCGCGUGUGUGAAGAAGGCCUUCGGGUUGUAAAGCACUUUCAGCGGGGAGGAAGGCGGUGAGGUUAAUAACCUCAUCGAUUGACGUUACCCGCAGAAGAAGCACCGGCUAACUCCGUGCCAGCAGCCGCGGUAAUACGGAGGGUGCAAGCGUUAAUCGGAAUUACUGGGCGUAAAGCGCACGCAGGCGGUCUGUCAAGUCGGAUGUGAAAUCCCCGGGCUUAACCUGGGAACUGCAUUCGAAACUGGCAGGCUAGAGUCUUGUAGAGGGGGGUAGAAUUCCAGGUGUAGCGGUGAAAUGCGUAGAGAUCUGGAGGAAUACCGGUGGCGAAGGCGGCCCCCUGGACAAAGACUGACGCUCAGGUGCGAAAGCGUGGGGAGCAAACAGGAUUAGAUACCCUGGUAGUCCACGCCGUAAACGAUGUCGAUUUGGAGGUUGUGCCCUUGAGGCGUGGCUUCCGGAGCUAACGCGUUAAAUCGACCGCCUGGGGAGUACGGCCGCAAGGUUAAAACUCAAAUGAAUUGACGGGGGCCCGCACAAGCGGUGGAGCAUGUGGUUUAAUUCGAUGCAACGCGAAGAACCUUACCUGGUCUUGACAUCCACAGAACUUUCCAGAGAUGGAUUGGUGCCUUCGGGAACUGUGAGACAGGUGCUGCAUGGCUGUCGUCAGCUCGUGUUGUGAAAUGUUGGGUUAAGUCCCGCAACGAGCGCAACCCUUAUCCUUUGUUGCCAGCGGUCCGGCCGGGAACUCAAAGGAGACUGCCAGUGAUAAACUGGAGGAAGGUGGGGAUGACGUCAAGUCAUCAUGGCCCUUACGACCAGGGCUACACACGUGCUACAAUGGCAUAUACAAAGAGAAGCGACCUCGCGAGAGCAAGCGGACCUCAUAAAGUAUGUCGUAGUCCGGAUUGGAGUCUGCAACUCGACUCCAUGAAGUCGGAAUCGCUAGUAAUCGUAGAUCAGAAUGCUACGGUGAAUACGUUCCCGGGCCUUGUACACACCGCCCGUCACACCAUGGGAGUGGGUUGCAAAAGAAGUAGGUAGCUUAACCUUCGGGAGGGCGCUUACCACUUUGUGAUUCAUGACUGGGGUGAAGUCGUAACAAGG